This 172-nucleotide non-coding RNA is filed under the name Clostridium massiliamazoniense. RNAcentral's name for it is "Lysine riboswitch". It matches the Rfam family "Lysine riboswitch aptamer". Rfam says of the family: Riboswitches are metabolite binding domains within certain messenger RNAs that serve as precision sensors for their corresponding targets. Allosteric rearrangement of mRNA structure is mediated by ligand binding, and this results in modulation of gene expression. The record is from RNAcentral. Lineage: Bacteria; Bacillati; Bacillota; Clostridia; Eubacteriales; Clostridiaceae.
GACGGUAGAGGCGCAAUAUUUAAAAGUAUUAUUAUGGAGAUUUAAGCUGUCUGUGAAGUAAUAAGAAAGGAAACAUUGCCGAAAUGUGUAAUUCUUAGCUUAAGGUUAUAUGUUGGGCAUACAUAGAAUAUAUGUAUGACUGUCACAAAUGUGUAUUUUGUGUUGAGCUAUC